RNAcentral lists this ribosomal RNA (1469 nucleotides) under uncultured fungus. RNAcentral's name for it is "eukaryotic LSU rRNA". The stretch from base 836 to 1469 matches the Rfam family "Eukaryotic large subunit ribosomal RNA", at positions 1 to 649 of the family's 3401-position model. Lineage: Eukaryota; Fungi. The record is from RNAcentral.
UCGUAACAAGGUUACCUUCUGGCACUCAAGCUACGGAGACCUUGCACCCUCGGGGGGGAGCGCGACAGUAAAUAAGCUCCCGUUGCAAGUUGGCCCUAGGCCAGCAACACAAUCGAAAUGCGGGGACCUCCUAAAGCCUGUAGCACCUCCCGCUGGAGAAAUUCAGCGGCACGGUAAGAGUCUACAGGAUGCUACAAUGAAGUAUCCGCAGCGGAGACCCUAAAGCCUAGGCCACGGGUAACGUUCACAGACUAAGUGAUUGUGGGUGGGUUUCCCAUCUAAGAUAUAGUCGGCUAUAGGGCUAACGCCCUGUAAUUACAGCGUCCGUAGGUGAACCUGCGGAAGGAUCAUUAAAAGGUUUAUCUGGGGGUGGGUAAAACCCUCCUGGAAAACUCCACCCUUGUAUAUUAUUACUUGUUGCUUUGGUGGGCCGCGAGAUUGCCUAGCGAUUGAGCACCGGCUUCGGCUGGAGAGCGCCUGCCAGAGGACCAAACUCUGUUAUUUAUGUCGUCUGAUUAUUAUUUAAUAGUUAAAACUUUCAACAACGGAUCUCUUGGUUCUGGCAUCGAUGAAGAACGCAGCGAAAUGCGAUAAGUAAUGUGAAUUGCAGAAUUCAGUGAAUCAUCGAAUCUUUGAACGCACAUUGCGCCCCUUGNAUUCCGAGGGGCAUGCCUGUUCGAGCGUCAUUAUGACCAAUCACGCCCUGUGCGUGGACUUGGGGUUCGCGAUUCCGCGUCCCUUAAAAUCAGUGGCGGUGCCGUUGGGCUCUAAGCGUAGUAAUUCUUCUCGCUACAGGGUCUUGCGGUUGCUUGCCAUAACCCCAACUUUCUUAGGUUGACCUCGGAUCAGGUAGGGAUACCCGCUGAACUUAAGCAUAUCAAUAAGCGGAGGAAAAGAAACCAACAGGGAUUACCUCAGUAACGGCGAGUGAAGCGGUAACAGCUCAAAUUUGAAAUCUGGCUCUUUCAGGGUCCGAGUUGUAAUUUGUAGAAGAUGCUUUGGGUGUGGCUCCGGUCUAAGUUCCUUGGAACAGGACGUCAUAGAGGGUGAGAAUCCCGUAUGUGACUGGUGGCCUUCGCCCGUGUAAAGCUCUUUCGACGAGUCGAGUUGUUUGGGAAUGCAGCUCAAAAUGGGUGGUAUAUUUCAUCUAAAGCUAAAUAUUGGCCAGAGACCGAUAGCGCACAAGUAGAGUGAUCGAAAGAUGAAAAGCACUUUGGAAAGAGAGUUAAACAGUACGUGAAAUUGUUGAAAGGGAAGCGCUUGCAACCAGACUUGCGGGUCGUUGAUCAUCCGGGGUUCUCCCCGGUGCACUCGGCGGCUCUCAGGCCAGCAUCGGUUUGGGUGGUGGGAUAAAGGCCUUGGGAAUGUGGCUCUCUUCGGGGAGUGUUAUAGCCCAAGGUGCAAUGCCGCCUACCCGGACCGAGGACCGCGCUUCGGCUAGGAUGCUGGCGUAAUGGUUGUAAGCGACC